AUGUUCGGCAAUUGGUUGAGGGGAAUAGAUAAACAAUUGUCUAAGCACAUUCUUGCAGGGGCGGCUGCCUUAUGUUGGGCGUUGUGGCUCAUCAGGAAUGAUAUUGUUUUUAAUCAUAAAAGUGUUUCAUCUCCUAUGCAGGUAAUUCAUAUAUGCUCGCGAUGGCUCCGUAUGUGGUCUAUCCUGCAGAAGCCGGAGGACAGAGACUUUUUUAUGAUGGCUUCUACCCGGUUGGAGUGCUCGGCCAGGGACAUUUUUUACCCCCAUGGAUGGCGGUGUGACCUUCGGAUUGGACCGGCAUCACCUUAG
This 309-nucleotide ribosomal RNA is filed under the name Triticum aestivum (bread wheat). RNAcentral describes it as "partial small subunit ribosomal RNA". Lineage: Eukaryota; Viridiplantae; Streptophyta; Magnoliopsida; Poales; Poaceae. The record is from RNAcentral.